RNAcentral lists this ribosomal RNA (245 nucleotides) under uncultured bacterium. RNAcentral describes it as "partial 16S ribosomal RNA". It matches the Rfam family "Bacterial small subunit ribosomal RNA", at positions 524 to 768 of the family's 1533-position model. The record is from RNAcentral.
UACGGAGGGUGCAAGCGUUAUUCGGAAUUACUGGGCGUAAAGCGCGUGCAGGCGGGCUAGCAAGUCUGAUGUGAAAGCCCCGGGCUUAACCUGGGAAGUGCAUUGGAUACUGUUGGUCUUGAGUUGCGGAGAGGAUGGGGGAAUUCCCGGUGUAGAGGUGAAAUUCGUAGAGAUCGGGAGGAAUACCAGUGGCGAAGGCGCCCAUCUGGACGACAACUGACGCUGAGACGCGAAAGCGUGGGGAG